UCCGACUUAACGUCGGCAGUCUCUUUAGAGUGCCCAACUGAAUGCUGGCAACUAAAGACAAGGGUUGCGCUCGUUGCGGGACUUAACCCAACAUCUCACGACACGAGCUGACGACAGCCAUGCAGCACCUAUAUACAGACCCGAAGGCGAUGAUAUCUCUACCAUCUUCCUGUACAUUUCGAGCCCAGGUAAGGUUCUUCGCGUAGCAUCGAAUUGAACCACAUGCUCCACCGCUUGUGCGGGCCCCCGUCAAUUUCUUUGAGUUUUAAUCUUGCGACCGUACUUCCCAGGCGGGACACUUAACGCGUUAGCUUCGUCACUGAAGGGGUCAAUACCUCCAACAACAAGUGUCCAUCGUUUACGGCGUGGACUAC
This 374-nucleotide unclassified non-coding RNA is filed under the name uncultured Pseudobdellovibrionaceae bacterium. RNAcentral's name for it is "uncultured Bdellovibrionaceae bacterium contains 16S-23S intergenic spacer region". The record is from RNAcentral. Lineage: Bacteria; Pseudomonadati; Bdellovibrionota; Bdellovibrionia; Bdellovibrionales; Pseudobdellovibrionaceae.